UACGUAGGGUGCGAGCGUUGUCCGGAAUUACUGGGCGUAAAGAGCUCGUAGGUGGUUUGUCGCGUUGUUCGUGAAAACUCACAGCUUAACUGUGGGCGUGCGGGCGAUACGGGCAGACUGGAGUACUGCAGGGGAGACUGGAAUUCCUGGUGUAGCGGUGGAAUGCGCAGAUAUCAGGAGGAACACCGGUGGCGAAGGCGGGUCUCUGGGCAGUAACUGACGCUGAGGAGCGUAAGCGUGGGGAGCGAACAGG
This 253-nucleotide ribosomal RNA is filed under the name uncultured bacterium. Its description in RNAcentral is "partial 16S ribosomal RNA". It matches the Rfam family "Bacterial small subunit ribosomal RNA", at positions 524 to 776 of the family's 1533-position model. The record is from RNAcentral.